AGCAGUAGCCGCGGUAAUACGUAGGGCGCAAGCGUUAUCCGGAAUUAUUGGGCGUAAAGAGCUCGUAGGCGGUUUGUCGCGUCUGCCGUGAAAGUCCGGGGCUCAACCCCGGAUCUGCGGUGGGUACGGGCAGACUAGAGUGAUGUAGGGGAGACUGGAAUUCCUGGUGUAGCGGUGAAAUGCGCAGAUAUCAGGAGGAACACCGAUGGCGAAGGCAGGUCUCUGGGCAUUAACUGACGCUGAGGAGCGAAAGCAUGGGGAGCGAACAGGAUUAGAUACCCCUGUAGUCCCUGUCUCUUAUAC
Molecule: ribosomal RNA, 303 nt
Filed under: uncultured bacterium
Lineage: Bacteria
Description: partial 16S ribosomal RNA
Rfam family: Bacterial small subunit ribosomal RNA
Source: RNAcentral